AAUAGAUACCCUGGUAGUCCACGCCGUAAACGAUGAGUGCUAAGUGUUAGAGGGUUUCCGCCCUUUAGUGCUGCAGCAAACGCAUUAAGCACUCCGCCUGGGGAGUACGGUCGCAAGACUGAAACUCAAAGGAAUUGACGGGGGCCCGCACAAGCGGUGGAGCAUGUGGUUUAAUUCGAAGCAACGCGAAGAACCUUACCAGGUCUUGACAUCCUCUGACAACCCUAGAGAUAGGGCUUCCCCUUCGGGGGCAGAGUGACAGGUGGUGCAUGGUUGUCGUCAGCUCGUGUCGUGAGAUGUUGGGUUAAGUCCCGCAACGAGCGCAACCCUUGAUCUUAGUUGCCAGCAUUCAGUUGGGCACUCUAAGGUGACUGCCGGUGACAAACCGGAGGAAGGUGGGGAUGACGUCAAAUCAUCAUGCCCCUUAUGACCUGGGCUACACACGUGCUACAAUGGGCAGAACAAAGGGCAGCGAAGCCGCGAGGCUAAGCCAAUCCCACAAAUCUGUUCUCAGUUCGGAUCG
This 523-nucleotide ribosomal RNA is filed under the name uncultured bacterium. RNAcentral's name for it is "bacterial SSU rRNA". It matches the Rfam family "Bacterial small subunit ribosomal RNA", at positions 777 to 1300 of the family's 1533-position model. The record is from RNAcentral.